Molecule: non-coding RNA, 1295 nt
Organism: Carica papaya (papaya)
Lineage: Eukaryota; Viridiplantae; Streptophyta; Magnoliopsida; Brassicales; Caricaceae
Source: RefSeq, a predicted model, not a curated record
UUCCCCGCCAAUGACUUGCUCACUACCACAAAAGAAGGUAACAUUAUUCUGCAACCAAAAGCAAUACUGAACACAUGCUGGGUUAAAAAAAAGGAGUUAAAUCCAUUGAAGAAAGCUUAAUUAAAUGGAGGAAUCUACUACCUGAGGAUGCCACCUGGGAAAAUGUAGAGAAUUUAUUUGAAUAGUUUCACAACCUUAAGGAUAAGGUUGCUUCAAAAGGGGGGAGUUAUGAUAAGGUCAGAAGAUCCCAAAGGAUCCCAAGAAGGAAUCCAAAAUAUAUGGAUUAAACUAGAACCGGAAGACAAGGAAGCAAGUGCUGCACAUGUUGAAAAUACACUCCAGCAGACUUGAAUGAGAGAGAAUAGAGAGAGUUGAGAGCUCCAUCUAUGAGGAUUCUGAAUGUGAGAGAGGGAGACCGAAGCUAAAGAAAGAGAGGGCAGAAAAACAAAGGGUGUUGAGCGAAAGUGUGUCGAAGAGGAAUUCAGUUUCAUCCCAGCUGAGUAAGCCCGAAAAACCCAAAAUCCUUACUGCAGCAUCAGAAUGACAUCUCUAUUUGGAUUCCACGGAUUCUUCCCAAAACGCAUUCUAACUCUACUUUACUGUUCAGGUGAGUCAUUGCUAUUCAUACAUGAUUUUACAACCAUUUUCUCGUGCGUUUUGGAAUCUAUUUUGUGUGUCAGUUUGGUAAGAGAAAUAGUACCUUAAUUUACCCAAAUAUUGCAGUUUCUAUAUGCAUUUAAAAUCUAAGAUGUGAAAAAAACCAGAAAACUCGUGGUUUUUAUGAAAAUAAAAGUGUGAGUGUGUGCAAUUCUCUGAUUUAAUUGUUGUUUUUGUGAAUGUAUUUGAAUAUGAAAUGUUUAUUGAUGAUGUAUAAAGCUUUUUAUGGAUUUUAAAUAAUCACAAAAGCAAAAAUGAUAGAAAAUCAUGAUGAAUCGUUAGUGGGAAACUGGAUGCUUCUUGCUGUUCAGCCCCGACACCAAAAUGCCAGGAUAAAGGGGCUAUAUGGCAUAUGCCGUGUGUGGGUGUGCACGAGGCAUUGUUGAGGCACCUACAAAUGUUGUGAUACGUCCCCUUGCAUGAUGUGUAUGCGCAGUACACUGCGCUCGAGAGGAAGGACACUGCUAAGCAGGCCUGCUGUGCCGAGAGUGUUUUGUUGCAGGGACCAUGCGUGCUGUGCACGCAAUGUGCGAAGGGGCACCUGCCCAAGGCUUAUGCCUCGAGGACACAUUACUGUGCAGUAGUCUGUGGACUGUGUGGGUCGACAAGCAUACACGUGUCAGGGGCCUGUGCAUGCC